CUGGCUGGUCCAGGGACUGGGUUUCUUGUCUGGAGUCACAAUUUACAGGGCCACUCUAAAAAAAGACCGGACAGUCUCUACAGAUAGCUUCCUCCAGGUUUCCACUGACCUUUUCCUGAGUGCAAAUGUGGCAGGGUACCACAGAUGUGAGACACCAAUCAUGGACUGUCAGGAUGGAGUACUACACAGGUCCAGCCUUGUUCCUUGGGAUGCUGAGGUACAUGGUUGCACAUGUCAUCUUCAAGACAGAAAGACAAGAUCCAGCUGUCAGUUUUUCCCAACAAGAAGAGAAGAGUUUAAAGUAAAAACAGUUAUGAAGCAAGAAUGCUAUAGGAAUAAUAAUAAAGAAAGACCAGUCAGGUAUUUGUGCUUUGAUCUAAACUGUAUGAAUGGCAAAAGUGUGACAGGAUGAUUUCUGAGAUAUUAAAAAGUUCUUACCUUGUAACAAUGUUCAUUCUUCAUUCUUCUAGUUGUCUUGAAAAAUAUCUCCUAGAAAGUCACCACUGAUGAUUAAAUCUCAGUUCAAAUAUUUGAAGUGUACCUUCAGUAUAAAAUCAAUAAAAUAUGCCCACUUAUUUUUUAAUAAAUUUUUGAUAGAUGUCUUUCCUUAUAUUGCUUAUG
Parus major (Great Tit) is the source of this 621-nucleotide long non-coding RNA. RefSeq lists it as uncharacterized. NCBI's taxonomy places the organism in Eukaryota, Metazoa, Chordata, Aves, Passeriformes, Paridae. The record is from RefSeq and is a predicted model, not a curated record. The transcript has 3 exons.